Molecule: ribosomal RNA, 301 nt
Filed under: uncultured bacterium
Lineage: Bacteria
Description: partial 16S ribosomal RNA
Rfam family: Bacterial small subunit ribosomal RNA
Source: RNAcentral
CGCGCCGCGGGAAUACAGAGGGUGCGAGCGUUAAUCGGAUUUACUGGGCGUAAAGCGUGCGUAGGCGGCUAAUUGAGUCGGAUGUGAAAUCCCCGAGCUUAACUUGGGAAUUGCAUUCGAUACUGGUUAGCUAGAGUGUGGGAGAGGAUGGUAGAAUUCCAGGUGUAGCGGUGAAAUGCGUAGAGAUCUGGAGGAAUACCGAUGGCGAAGGCAGCCAUCUGGCCUAACACUGACGCUGAGGUACGAAAGCAUGGGGAGCAAACAGGAUUAGAUACCCGCGUAGUCCCUGUCUCUUAUACAC